GAAUCUCGCGUUCUCCCACUUGUGGAACAUUUAACUCGUUUCGAAAGGUCGCGAUCGCGAGAACGUGAGAUUGUGGGAAUGUCCCUUACAGUACUCCAUAGCAUUCAGAGACGAACGGCUCGAUCUUUAUCAUAACAUGGAUUGGUUUUAAAGUGGGUCAUGUCAACACAAUGAACAGGUGAGACAAGCGCUCACUGAAACUGCUUACCCUCACGUCAAAGUCCAGCCAGGGGUACAUGCAAGGCGGUCUCACACAGCAGCCAGACACCAACGCAGGAAACCAGUGAAGUUCUUUGAGGAUCGGGGUGAUAUGGUCUGAUUUUGGGGAGAGUGAAACAAGUCUGGCUGCUUUGUUCUAGAUUGAUUGCAAUCUUCUGAUGACAUUUUUUGGAGAACCGGCAAGGAGGUUAUUGCAAUAAUCCAUCCUUGAUAUUGUUAGUGAAAGGCUUCCCCUCUGUGUCGAGCAGUCUCCAGCAGUUCCGGCUUAGUUGUCUACAUUUCUUCACUACUAAGGAUGGGAAUCCCUCUCGACAAAGACAAUCGGAAUAUAGUGUACAUAUGGCUUUUAACAACAGAACCCUUCCGUGCUGGCCACGCAUCUCUGCAACUGGGCAAUAAGAAAUAUAUCAGCUGGUGGCCCAAGGAGGAUAAGAUUUUACAACGGUUAAAACCUUCCUCUGGAAUUCCUCGCACUUUUGUAGAAGACGUCGAAAGAGAGGAUUCACUGCCAACCUAUGCGGUGAUUAUACCUGAGAACCACAAACUGAACGAGGUGGCUGUUGCGCAGUGGUGGGACAAGUACAAGUCCUCGGGCAAUUGGGAUGCCCAUCACACCUGUUGUUGGGUGGUCAAGAAGGCUCUUUCCGUUGGGCUAAUAGAUGCAUCUUUUACAUUUGAUAUGUCAUUCAGCGUUAAUGAUACAUCCAACCUAUUCGACUGUGUCAUGGAGAUACCCGGUGUUGAGUUUUACAGAGGGUCACAUGUACAUUACUUUCAGUUGGGUUGGAAACUCUUGAAAGUAAUUGAGUCGACAUUUGGAAACCAAUUUGAAAUACUACAGUCACUUUUGAAAGCUUUCUCAAGAGUCCAAAUUAUAUCUUACAAAUAUAACCCAGAUGUUAGCAUUAGUUUGUUUGCAUGUUUGUUUACAGCUGUUUGUCUGUUAUGGCUGCUUAACAAGGGUGUGCCACAGACUAGAAAUUUUUGGAGUGCUGUACGUAUGAUACUCUAUACAUUUUAAUAUACUCUUUCAAUGUUCAUGUUGAUUGUGAAGGGGAAACUGACAACCUGAUUACUUGUAACAGACUUGGAAUGUUUAGUUAACCUCCGUGCGGUUUCGAUGCAUAGCUGUCUGAAAAGUAUGCAAACAGUACACCUGUACUCCAUCGUAAACUUGCUUAAUCUUACGUCGUGAUGGGCUCAGAUUUGGAACCAUACCUGGAAACUGUUCACAGAGCAUGUAUACGUUAUGUAUCCUUCAGGGAUAUGCUUGCAGGAAGUCUGAUUUAGAAAUUUGUAGUCGUUAAUUUUUUUCUCUGGUGUGUAUCAAAUAGUAAUACAAAUAUAUCUCUUCAAAUGAUAUGAAAUUUCUUAACAAAUGGCACCAUUUCACUUGUUGUCAUGGCAUGUCUUCGGAGACGUCUGAAAAAGACGACAUUGUUAUUAUGAUUAAUAAAUGUCUCAUCUAA
RNAcentral lists this unclassified non-coding RNA (1688 nucleotides) under Haliotis rubra (blacklip abalone). RNAcentral describes it as "uncharacterized LOC124275429, transcript variant X5". The record is from RNAcentral. Lineage: Eukaryota; Metazoa; Mollusca; Gastropoda; Lepetellida; Haliotidae.